GACCUCUGAAAGUCGCUCGGGUGUCGAAAGCGUGCUUAUGACAUUCUUGUUGGCGGUCAAAAGGUUAGAACGCGAUUACAUUCGUUAAGGAUGUUGACGUAAUGGCUUUAAACGA
RNAcentral lists this ribosomal RNA (115 nucleotides) under Glomeraceae sp. RNAcentral's name for it is "partial large subunit ribosomal RNA". The record is from RNAcentral. Lineage: Eukaryota; Fungi; Glomeromycota; Glomeromycetes; Glomerales; Glomeraceae.